UUUUUCGUUUUUAUGAAGCAUGAUGCAUGAAGAUGCGAAUGUUAUGCAUAUUUCAUUUUCAGGGAAUUUUCAUCACAGUUGUAGUUAUAUUAAGCAUUCGAAGAAAACAUAAAGUUAGGGAAUAAAAAUGAGGAUCAUCCUCCUCUAUUCAAAUGUUUAAAGUACGGAGUACAAAGGCAUAACCGCCCAAAUCAAUACAGCUCAAAUACUAAACUGAAUGUAAGAAAAACAACAGAAUCACACAGCAGUCUUU
RNAcentral lists this long non-coding RNA (253 nucleotides) under Lathyrus oleraceus (garden pea). RNAcentral describes it as "Pisum sativum (pea) long non-coding RNA (PSAT_LNC039308)". Lineage: Eukaryota; Viridiplantae; Streptophyta; Magnoliopsida; Fabales; Fabaceae. The record is from RNAcentral.